This 492-nucleotide ribosomal RNA is filed under the name uncultured bacterium. RNAcentral describes it as "partial 16S ribosomal RNA". It matches the Rfam family "Bacterial small subunit ribosomal RNA", at positions 29 to 507 of the family's 1533-position model. The record is from RNAcentral.
AGUGAACGCUGGCGGUAGGCCUAACACAUGCAAGUCGAACGGCAGCACAGUAAGAGCUUGCUCUUACGGGUGGCGAGUGGCGGACGGGUGAGGAAUACAUCGGAAUCUACUUUUUCGUGGGGGAUAACGUAGGGAAACUUACGCUAAUACCGCAUACGACCUACGGCUGAAAGCAGGGGAUCUUCGGACCCUGCGCGAUUGAAUGAGCCGAUGUCGGAUUAGCUAGUUGGCGGGGUAAAGGCCCACCAAGGCGACGAUCCGUAGCUGGUCUGAGAGGAUGAUCAGCCACACUGGAACUGAGACACGGUCCAGACUCCUACGGGAGGCAGCAGUAGGGAAUAUUGGACAAUGGGCGCAAGCCUGAUCCAGCCAUACCGCGUGAGUGAAGAAGGCCUUCGGGUUGUAAAGCCCUUUUAUUGGGAAAGAAAAGCAGCAGGUUAAUACCCCGCUGUUCUGACGGUACCCAAAGAAUAAGCACCGGCUAACUUCGUG